Molecule: ribosomal RNA, 601 nt
Filed under: Staphylococcus sp.
Lineage: Bacteria; Bacillati; Bacillota; Bacilli; Caryophanales; Staphylococcaceae
Description: bacterial SSU rRNA
Rfam family: Bacterial small subunit ribosomal RNA
Source: RNAcentral
CUAGUUGGUAAGGUAACGGCUUACCAAGGCAACGAUGCAUAGCCGACCUGAGAGGGUGAUCGGCCACACUGGAACUGAGACACGGUCCAGACUCCUACGGGAGGCAGCAGUAGGGAAUCUUCCGCAAUGGGCGAAAGCCUGACGGAGCAACGCCGCGUGAGUGAUGAAGGUCUUCGGAUCGUAAAACUCUGUUAUUAGGGAAGAACAUAUGUGUAAGUAACUGUGCACAUCUUGACGGUACCUAAUCAGAAAGCCACGGCUAACUACGUGCCAGCAGCCGCGGUAAUACGUAGGUGGCAAGCGUUAUCCGGAAUUAUUGGGCGUAAAGCGCGCGUAGGCGGUUUUUUAAGUCUGAUGUGAAAGCCCACGGCUCAACCCGUGGAGGGUCAUUGGAAACUGGAAAACUUGAGUGCAGAAGAGGAAAGUGGAAUUCCAUGUGUAGCGGUGAAAUGCGCAGAGAUAUGGAGGAACACCAGUGGCGAAGGCGACUUUCUGGUCUGUAACUGACGCUGAUGUGCGAAAGCGUGGGGAUCAAACAGGAUUAGAUACCCUGGUAGUCCACGCCGUAAACGAUGAGUGCUAAGUGUUAGGGGGUUUCCGC